AAAAGACUUAGUCCUAACCUUGCUAUUGAUUUUUGCUAGACAUAUACAUGCAAGUAUCCGCAUUCCAGUGAAAAUGCCCUAAUGCCUUACUAAGCAAAAGGAGCAGGUAUCAGGCUCACCCAAGAGUAGCCCAAAACACCUUGCUAAAGCCACGCCCCCACGGGUAUUCAGCAGUAAUUAACCUUAAGCAAUAAGUGAAAACUUGACUUAGCCAUAGCAAUCUUUCAGGGUUGGUAAAUCUUGUGCCAGCCACCGCGGUCAUACAAGAAACCCAAGUCAAUAGCCCUCGGCGUAAAGAGUGGCCAUAUGUUAUCUUCAACAACUAAGAUCAAAAUGUAACUAAGCUGUCAUAAGCCUAUGAUCCACUUAAGCCCAUCUAAACCAUCUUAGCCACAUGACCAAUUUAAACCCACGAAAGCCAGGGUACAAACUGGGAUUAGAUACCCCACUAUGCCUGGCCCUUAAUUCAGAUACUCACAUACCCUCGUAUCCGCCCGAGAACUACGAGCACAAACGCUUAAAACUCUAAGGACUUGGCGGUGCCCUAAACCCACCUAGAGGAGCCUGUUCUAUAAUCGAUAAUCCACGAUCCACCCAACCACCCCUUGCUCUAAUCAGCCUACAUACCGCCGUCGCCAGCCCACCUAAAAUGAAAGACCAACAGUGAGCCCAAUAGCCCCCGCUAACAAGACAGGUCAAGGUAUAGCCCAUGGGGUGGAAGAAAUGGGCUAAUUUUUCUAACAUAGAAUAAACGAAAAGGGACAUGAAACUCGUCCCUAGAAGGAGGAUUUAGCAGUAAAAUAGGACCAUACUUGCCUAAGCCUACUUUAAGAUGGCUCUGGGGCACGUACAUACCGCCCGUCACCCUCUUCAUAGGCCACAAACACCGAUAAAUAAUACCCACCCAUAAGCCAAAGACGAGGUAAGUCGUAACAAGGUAAGCGUACCGGAAGGUGCGCUUAGACUAU
RNAcentral lists this non-coding RNA (968 nucleotides) under Tetrastes bonasia (hazel grouse). RNAcentral describes it as "12S ribosomal RNA". It matches the Rfam family "Bacterial small subunit ribosomal RNA". Lineage: Eukaryota; Metazoa; Chordata; Aves; Galliformes; Phasianidae. The record is from RNAcentral.